GACGAACGCUGGCGGCGUGCUUAACACAUGCAAGUCGAACGGAAAGGCCUCUUUCGGGGGGUACUCGCGUGGCGAACGGGUGAGUAACUCGCAAGUAACUUGCCCUUGUCUUUGGCUUAACUUCAGGAAACUGGGGCUAAUACCGGCUAGGUGCUCUUUUUGCCUGGAUGGGGUUGGAAAGUUUCGGGGGUUUGGGGUGGGCUCGCGGGUUAUCAGCUUGUUGGUGGGGUAGUGGGUUACCAAGGCUUUGCCGGGUCGCCGGCCUGAGAGGGUGACCGGCGACAUUGAGACUGAGAUAAGGCCCAGACACCUACGGGAGGGAGCAGGGGGGAAUAUUGCACAAUGGGUGGAAGCCUGAUGCAGCAACGCCGUGUGCGGGAUGACGGCCUUCGGGUUGAAAACCGCUUUCGCUCAUGACGAAGCUUUGUGUGACGGUAGUGGGUAAAGAAGCACCGGCUAACUACGUG
Molecule: ribosomal RNA, 467 nt
Filed under: uncultured bacterium
Lineage: Bacteria
Description: partial 16S ribosomal RNA
Rfam family: Bacterial small subunit ribosomal RNA
Source: RNAcentral